AGGGUGCACCUUACUUUAAGUAGGGCUAAAGGAAGGAGACUUACUUAAUUUACACUAUUUUUUUAAGAUUAAUUUUGUAGGAGUGUUUUUUAGGGUGUAGUUCAUGCUUCCUACUUGCCUGAAGCUUUGGGGUUGAUAGGCACAAUGGAGCUUCUGUUGAAUGUUUAAUGCCUUACUGACUGACUGAGCUAUAGGCGAGGUGAAGGCUGCUCUAUUAUCAGACUUUAUGGCAGCAGACAGCCUAUAUUGAGGGAUGAUUUCAUUGAGUAAAAACUUAACUACUGUGUUGGUGGUUUCGUUUUUGGUAGAAAAUGCCUUAGUCUAUCUGGAGAAGGUGUCUACUAGUACUAGAAGGUAUUUGUACUUAGUCUGGUGUGGUUUUACUUCUGUAAAGUCAAUUUCUUUUUUCUUGGUGAGUUUUUUCAGAGACAGUGGCCUGGGCUGGGUUUAGGACUUUGUUUGGCAUUUAUGUGGGCGCAGGUUGUGCACUGGAGAGCUGCUUAAUCUGUUAGGCUUUGAAGAUGGGGGAUCUUAAAAUGGCUCCGGAGGAGCUGAGGUAGCUUUGCUCUUCUUAAAUGGGUGGUAGACUGUAGGUAACUGAUUAAAGUUUCUUUAAGAGUUCAGGGUAUGAAGAUUCCAGAGUCAGGAAGAAUCUACUAACUUUCCUGAUUUUUAUUGGCUCUGAGAUCUGAAGCCAGUUUUUUUGUUGUUGAGUAUACGGGAUUGUCAGGCAGAUCUGGCUGUGGAAAGGAGACUGUGGGCAGCAAGUUUAGAGGCGUGACUGAAAGUCUCGCUGCGACCUGAGCUGCUGAAUCAGCUUUCUGUUUACUGUGGGCAAUGGCUGUGUUUUCUUUUUGAUGUCCUUUGCAGUGGAUCACAGCUACCUGCUGAGACAGACAAGGGGAGUGGUUCCUGUGAUGGGAUCAGUCAGAUGCCUGCCUGGCCGCUCCCCCUGAGGGGACUUGGGCUCCUCUUAGCAUUGGCAGGCCGGUAUAAACUUCCGGCUCAGAUCGAGCUAUGCCUGAUGCUGCCUUAAGCCUUAUGAGGUCGCCAAGGAACCGCAGCUCCUCCCACUGAAGAAUUGGAGUAUAUUUCUCCAGCCCCUAAUGUUGGGUUUAGUCAUGUGUCUAGCUUUGGCCACUGGAAUAUUAAUCUGCAUGACCAAAAACUUGGAAUGUAUGCAUUCAUUUGUGCUCACUCGCUCCUGCUAUCACCAUGAGAACAAGCCCAGGCCAGCCUGCUGCUUCCAGCAGAAGAUAAGAGACACCAAGAGCAAAGCAGAGUUUCCCAGACAUGCUCAUGCUAGAUUAACCAAUCCUCAGCUGACCCAUAGAUCCAUGAAAAUAAAUGACUGUUGUAUUAAGCCUGGGUGACAGAGUGAGACUCCAUUGCUUAAAAAAGAGAAAAAAUAUUUCCCAGAUAAGCAAAAGACUGUUUGUUUGUGUCUUGUUUGUUGUGGUCCUACAAAAAAUGCUUAAGGGAGUCCUACACUGGGAAGCAAAAGAACAAUAUCUACCAUCAUGAAAAUACAUGAAAGUAUAAAACUCAUGGUAGUGCAGACACACAAAGGAGAAAGGAUUCAAACGUCACCAUUAAAGAAAACCACCAAACUGCAACAAUAAAUAAUGAGAGAAAAAAGGAA
RNAcentral lists this long non-coding RNA (1642 nucleotides) under Homo sapiens (human). RNAcentral's name for it is "HSALNT0314636". Lineage: Eukaryota; Metazoa; Chordata; Mammalia; Primates; Hominidae. The record is from RNAcentral.